GUUAAAACGCUCGUAGUCGGAUUUCGGGUCCUGUCCGCCGGUUUGCCGUUGGGUAUACACUGGUGGGCGCGUCCUUCCUUCCGGAGACCGCGCCUCCUCUUAGCUGAGCGGGCGUGGGAGACGGAUCGUUUACUUUGAAAAAAUCAGAGUGUUUCACGCAGGCAGUCUGCUCUUGCAUGGAUUAGCAUGGGAUGAUGAAAUAGGACUCUGGUGCUAUUUUGUUGGUUUCGAGCACCGGGGUAAUGAUUAACAGGGACAGUCAGGGGCACUCGUAUUCCGCAGAGAGAGGUGAAAUUCUCAGACCCGCGGAAGACGAACCACUGCGAAAGCAUUUGCCAGGGAUGUUUUCACUGAUCAAGAACGAAAGUUAGGGGAUCGAAGACGAUCAGAUACCGUCGUAGUCUUAACCAUAAACGAUGCCAACUAGGGAUCCCGAGAUGUUGCUUUUGACUCUCGGGGCACCUUACGGGAAACUAAAGUCUUUGGGUUCCGGGGGGAGUAUGGUCGCAAGGCUGAAACUUAAAGGAAUUGACGGAAGGGCACCACCAGGAGUGGAGCCUGCGGCUUAAUUUGACUCAACACGGGGAAACUUACCAGGUCCAGACAUUGUGAGGAUUGACAGAUUGAGAGCUCUUUCUUGAUUCGAUGGGUGGUGGUGCAUGGCCGUUCUUAGUUGGUGGAGUGAUUUGUCUGGUUAAUUCCGUU
Molecule: ribosomal RNA, 705 nt
Filed under: uncultured marine eukaryote
Lineage: Eukaryota
Description: SSU rRNA
Rfam family: Eukaryotic small subunit ribosomal RNA
Source: RNAcentral